Molecule: ribosomal RNA, 518 nt
Filed under: uncultured archaeon HA01
Lineage: Archaea
Description: bacterial SSU rRNA
Rfam family: Archaeal small subunit ribosomal RNA
Source: RNAcentral
UACACGAAAGUGUGACAGGGCUAUCCCGAGUGCCAUCCGCUGAGGAAGGCUUUUACCCAGUGUAGAUAGCUGGGGGAAUAAGGAGAGGGCAAGACUGGUGUCAGCCGCCGCGGUAAUACCAGCUCUCCGAGUGGUGUGGAUGUUUAUUGGGCCUAAAGCAUCCGUAGCUGGCCAAGUUAGUCCCCUGUUAAAUCCACCGAUUCAAUCGUUGGAGUGCGGGGGAUACUGCUCGGCUAGGGGACGGGAGAGGCCGACGGUAUUUUCGGGGUAGGGGUGAAAUCCUAUAAUCCCGGGAAGACCACCAGUGGCGAAGGCUGUCGGCUAGAACGCGCCCGACGGUGAGGGAUGAAAGCUGGGGGAGCGAACCGGAUUAGAUACCCGGGUAGUCCCAGCUGUAAACGAUGCAGGCUAGGUGUUUGGCGGCCACGUGCCGUCUAGUGCCGCAGGGAAGUCGUAAGCCUGCCGCCUGGGGAGUACGGCCGCAAGGCUGAAACUUAAAGGAAUUGGCGGGGGAGCAC